This is a non-coding RNA of Chanos chanos (milkfish), 75 nucleotides long. NCBI's taxonomy places the organism in Eukaryota, Metazoa, Chordata, Actinopteri, Gonorynchiformes, Chanidae. The record is from the annotation of a RefSeq genome assembly.
GUUGUAGUGUAGUGUAGUGGUUAUCACGUUCGCCUCACACGCGAAAGGUCCCCGGUUCGAAACCGGGCAGAAACA